AGAAAAACAAAACCUAACCUCACCCUUUUCUUUAUUAACUGAGAGAGAGGUUUGAAUGAGGGGGAGCCUAGAGAAAGGGAUAGAACCGUGAAACUAGGAGGAGGCUAGAUGCUGUUGUGAGCAAGGAGACGUCAGGUGGUGCGUUAAGGAAUCCUGGAGAAGCCUUGGAAGCUAGCUCCUGGAAGUGUGGUGGAAGUAGCACUGG
RNAcentral lists this small RNA (205 nucleotides) under Vigna angularis var. angularis. RNAcentral describes it as "Non-protein coding transcript". The record is from RNAcentral. Lineage: Eukaryota; Viridiplantae; Streptophyta; Magnoliopsida; Fabales; Fabaceae.